GAACCUUACCCAGGCUUGAACAGCGAGUGACCAUUUCCGAAAGGGAACUUCCGCAAGGACACUCGUAGAGGUGCUGCAUGGCUGUCGUCAGCUCGUGUCGUGAGAUGUUGGGUUAAGUCCCGCAACGAGCGCAACCCUUGUUUGCUGUUGCCAUCAGGUAAUGCUGGGCACUCUGCAAAGACUGCCGGUGAUAAACCGGAGGAAGGUGGGGAUGACGUCAAGUCAGCAUGGCCUUUAUGUCUGGGGCUACACACGUGCUACAAUGGCCGAUACAAACCGUCGCGAGCCCGCAAGGGGGAGCUAAUCGGAGAAAGUCGGUCUCAGUUCGGAUAGCAGGCUGCAACUCGCCUGCUUGAAGUUGGAGUCGCUAGUAACCGCGGAUCAGCACGCCGUGGUGAAUACGUUCCCGGGCCUUGUCACACCGA
This 425-nucleotide ribosomal RNA is filed under the name uncultured soil bacterium. Its description in RNAcentral is "bacterial SSU rRNA". It matches the Rfam family "Bacterial small subunit ribosomal RNA", at positions 966 to 1393 of the family's 1533-position model. The record is from RNAcentral.